RNAcentral lists this ribosomal RNA (632 nucleotides) under Arthrobacter sp. So1Pw_1094. RNAcentral's name for it is "bacterial SSU rRNA". It matches the Rfam family "Bacterial small subunit ribosomal RNA", at positions 382 to 1023 of the family's 1533-position model. Lineage: Bacteria; Bacillati; Actinomycetota; Actinomycetes; Micrococcales; Micrococcaceae. The record is from RNAcentral.
CCUGAUGCAGCGACGCCGCGUGAGGGAUGACGGCCUUCGGGUUGUAAACCUCUUUCAGUAGGGAAGAAGCGAAAGUGACGGUACCUGCAGAAGAAGCGCCGGCUAACUACGUGCCAGCAGCCGCGGUAAUACGUAGGGCGCAAGCGUUAUCCGGAAUUAUUGGGCGUAAAGAGCUCGUAGGCGGUUUGUCGCGUCUGCCGUGAAAGUCCGAGGCUCAACCUCGGAUCUGCGGUGGGUACGGGCAGACUAGAGUGAUGUAGGGGAGACUGGAAUUCCUGGUGUAGCGGUGAAAUGCGCAGAUAUCAGGAGGAACACCGAUGGCGAAGGCAGGUCUCUGGGCAUUAACUGACGCUGAGGAGCGAAAGCAUGGGGAGCGAACAGGAUUAGAUACCCUGGUAGUCCAUGCCGUAAACGUUGGGCACUAGGUGUGGGGGACAUUCCACGUUUUCCGCGCCGUAGCUAACGCAUUAAGUGCCCCGCCUGGGGAGUACGGCCGCAAGGCUAAAACUCAAAGGAAUUGACGGGGGCCCGCACAAGCGGCGGAGCAUGCGGAUUAAUUCGAUGCAACGCGAAGAACCUUACCAAGGCUUGACAUGUGCCAGACCGCCGUGGAAACACGGUUUCCCCUUUGG